Long non-coding RNA from Solanum pennellii, 14839 nucleotides. RefSeq lists it as uncharacterized. Lineage: Eukaryota; Viridiplantae; Streptophyta; Magnoliopsida; Solanales; Solanaceae. The record is from RefSeq and is a predicted model, not a curated record. The transcript is spliced from 10 exons.
UUCAAAAAAGGAAUAUAUAAAAAUUAAUAUGGAUUGGAGCUCAAAAAUACCAAAUUUAUGAUUUGGUGUGGGUAGGAGAUGGUCUCCAGAUAAUGAUGAAUUUAGUCGAAAACGGUAACGACCCAACUCCACCGCCUUUGAUCGAAUACAUCCGCGAAUAUUUCCAACGCUUAAUCGCAUCCAUCUGCCAUAUUCCUCAAACCUUAUAAGGAGGCAAUUAUUUGCUUUGGUUCAAGUUGUAUUUUUUUCCCCGUGAUUUGGUGUUCUUUCAUUGAGGAUAUAUACGCUGUUUUCGAUCAAGAUAUUGUAUGAUUAACAUACCUAUGGGUAAUUAUUAUUAUGAUGAAGAUGAUGAUGGAUAAUUGUUGUGGAUCAUGAUGAUGGAUUAUUCCAUCCCUGUUCAUUUUGGCUAUAGAUUUCGUUGAUAUGUUCGUAGUGUUUUGAUUUUUGAUUUGGGUGAUUGUUGUUGAUCAAGAUACUGGGUAAUUUUUGUUGAUCAUAAUGCUUGGUAAUUAUUGUAUGGUCUGGGCAACUAUUCUAUGAUCAAGAUGUUGAUCAAUUAUUCUAUGAUCAAGAUGUGAUCAAUUAUUGUAUGAUCAAGAUAUGGGUGAUUAUUUUAUAUUGAUUCCUUUCUUUGGGGAUGGAUUGGUUUGUUUUUUGAUUUCCUGGCCAUCCCAGAAUUAUAUAAAUCACACGUUAUCGACUUCCAAAUCGGGGUUUCCAAAUAUAUUAAUGUAUGGGAUGUGGGUUUCUCAUUUUCGAGUCUUUGAUAUCUCUAUUGACAAGUUAAGGUCGAUAUGUUAAGGUUAGGUUGGAAGAGGAAGGUAGGUUUUGGGAGUUCUUGACUUUUUCCUUGAAGCCAAUUCAUUUCUUAUUGUUGUUUGUUUGAUCAGGUAUGGGUAAUGAUAGGGGAAUGAUUAUAGGUAACUACCUUCCUGUGUAUUUCAUGAUUCUCCUUCUACGCUUGCUGUUACCUUCUGCCGGUUACCUAAUACUCAUAUACUUGCCAUCCUUCAAUGUGUAGUUCAUUUAUUUAUUGUUCUCAUUUCUUGUGUUUUCAUAGUGCAUUGCAAUCCUUUUGAUUGAUUCAGAAUAUAAGUAGACAGCAGCUUCCCGAGCAAGACUGUAGUUCUGCUACAACCAUUUUUUCUGUGGUACUUUCACAUGAGUCUAUUCUUCCUUUAAUCUACUAUGAAAGGUUUUAAUAUGGCUCUCAAUAUUGAAUUUGAGGACCAACCUUUGUGGCUUUUUGCUUGUUAGAAGUGGAAAUUUAGCUCCCAGGCCUACUUGGAUCUUCUACUGUGGAAUUGUGUCACACCCAUACAGGGGGAAGCUAUCAUUUUGGAUUUGAUAUCUUGAGUUCAUCUUCGAUGGUAAUUUUUGAUGCUAGUUACUUCUCUCUGCGCAUCAACUUCUUCUACCUUCUUAGUUGGUUUGGUCCUCAAUGAGUGUCAUUCGUGGUUGUCAAGAUGGGGCAUCUAGGAGCAGGUGGUUCUCUACAGGUAUAAGUGUCUUGCUUUGCUGUGUGAGAUCGGUUGGGAAUGAUGCAGCAGUUCCAGGCCUUUGACUGUACGUCUUGGAUUUUCCAGUGUCUCAAAGCUUUAUCAAAACUGGUAUCAUAUGGAUAUCAACUGUGAUAUUUCUUUUCACUAGUGUUUAUAGUGUGUUCUGCUGCCAGUUUUAGUUGUUAGUUGUGUUCUUUGAUGAUGCUGAUGUGUUUUAAGGUGUUAUGGGUACCGGAUAAUGUCAAAAGUCAGUUCGGCAUUUUUGAUAGUGCUUCUCUGCUUUUUCUUUCCUAGCUAGUAAUCUUCUCUGCCGUUUUUCCUUUGUUAUCACGAAAGUUUAUGUUUGUAUUGGUGAAUGAAUGUGUAGACCACUACAUGGUGAUAGUAAUAGAUGAUUAGUUUUGUUCAAAGGGUUGUAUCCUGUAUGCAUUCUUGUGCACCUUGGUUUUUGGUCUUUUUGGUGACUGCACUUCAAUAUAUUGUGUAUUAUAGUAGUAGUUUAUAAUUGCAAUCCUUUUGAUUCAUUUUCAAUGUUGUUGGAAAUUGGAAGUUGGUGAGGUCCAUUAUAGAUGCAAUUUCAUGUUUGCUUCCAGGGUCUGGGAUAUUCUGAUGUUUUUGUUGUGAGGAUUUCAUGUAUAGGUGUACAUUGUUUUGUCACCCUAUAUACUAUUAUGAAACCUAGCAAUUUCCUUCUGUUGAAUCAGGAAAUUGGAAAUUUGGUUUUGAGGAUUUCAUGUAUAGGUGUACAUUGUUUUGUCACCCUAUAUACUACUAUGAAACCUAGCAAUUACCUUCUGUUGAAUCAGGAAACUGGAAAUUUGGCCCAGCAAUGCCUAAUUGGAUCUUCUAUUCUAGACCUAUAUGUCACAAUCAUACAGUGGAGCUAUCAGUUCGGUUUGAUAUCUUAACUUCCAUUUUUAAUGCUAAUGCUGAUUAUGUAUCUCCUCGCAUCAACUUCUUUUACCUUUUUAUUUGGUUUGGUCAUCAAUUAGCUGUCAAGAAUACAUGGAAGGGCAUCUAGGUGCAAGUGGUUCUACAGGAGUAAGUGUCUUGCUCCGGUGUUUGUGGUUGGGGAAGAUGCAUCAGGUCCCAGGUUUUUGACUAUAUAGUUGCUGGAUUUUUUGUUUCUCAAAGCUUUGUUGCGUUGUAGAGGUUCUCAACUAUGAUAAUCUUUUCACAAGUGUGUUCUGCUGCUAGUCAGAUGCUCGUGUGCGCUUGAUGAUCCUGAUGUCUUUUAUGUUGUUAUGGGCAUCAGAUAAGGUCAAGUGUCAACUUUGAUCUCUGAUAGUGCUAUAAAGUACUCCCAGCUACUUAAUCUUCUCUACCGUUUUCCCAUGGUUAUCAUGCCAAGUUCAUUUUGUUUAGUGGUGAAUAAAUGUGUAGAUCACAUGCUGACAGUAAUAGAGGAGUAGUUUUGGGAACUUUAAAACCUUGUAUCCGGUGCAUACCAAACUUCGACAAAAUUUGGGUUUUGAAUCUUGUCUUUUGAAUCUCUAGUGAUUUCAUAGGUGGUAUGGAGUUUAUCAGCUUAGUACUGAACUGUUCCCUUCUUUUUGUUCUUGCAGUUGGGUCUUACAAAGCAAUGCAUUAUUCUUUUCACGGAGGGGCUCUGUUUGGCCACUUGUGUUGAGGUUUCUUUUGUUCAGGUUUUUAUGAGUACUGAGGUUCUCAUUUCUAUUCUCUUCACGAAUCAGAGUACUUCCUCUCUUCCUAAAAAAUUACUCUAGCACUCUUCCGUGUUGUAUUUAGCAGCCCUUUUUAGUUUUUGUCCAGAUGCUUAUGUUCUUUGAUGAUCCAAUUGAUGAGUUUCCUGGUGCUUGAUAUGUGUAUGAUCUUGUCGACACCUGGUAAAAACUCAAAACUCAAUCCUGGAUCUCUUUCGGUUAAGUGGGUUCGCUCUUACUCCCUCACAUUGAUUGAUGAUGUGAUCAGGCUUUGCCAGUUGGUAUUUGUUCCUGUGCAUACUGUUUGCGAUUUUUCUGCUUGGACUGGAAUCUGAAUAUUGUUGUACCUUGAUAGAGGGGUUCUUUGAGAAGACGAGUUUUGCAAUCUUAUCUUUGGAAUUUUUUUUGCGGGUUUCGUUAACUUUGCAUGGAACUCUUCCGUGAAUUCCUUUGCUUGCAGCCAAUGGGUCUUACAAAGCAAGGAAUUCUUCUUUUCCCUGGAGUGACCUUAUUUGUCCAUAUUUGAUGAAGUUUUGUCAGUUCAGUCUUCUAUGAGUAGAGAUAAUACUCAACUUUUCUUCCCUAAUGACUUUUGUCUGUGUCGAAACUAUUGUUGUAUAGAAUUUUCUCAAUUAGUACAGUAUUUUGUGCUCUCCAGCUUAUGCUGCCAUGAAGAUCCAAGUGCAUGCUUGUGUUCUUUGAUGAUCCAAUGGAAAAAAAUGAAAGCAGAGAAGAUAAGAAGCUAAACGGACAAAAGUGAAAAUGUAUUUUUGGUUGUAUAGAAGUGUAGACCAUGUGGUAAUACUGUUAUGAGCACACUGUUAUGAGCGUUCAAAUCUGGAUAUUUUAAAGUUUGGCUAACCAACAUGUGAUCCUCUGCCACUUUUUGAUCUUUUGGUGCUUGCACUGCAACCUGAUAUUGUCCGGGCUUUAACAAAAGGUUUUUAAGGGGUUUUUAGUCUCAUCUAUGGCACCUCUGGUGAUUACUCAGGUGGUUUGGGAUUUGCUGGUUUGCAUUUUUAACUGUUCUUUUCUUCCUGUUCUAGCAGCCAUUGGUUAUAGGUAAGUGAGUUACUGUUUUUAGUUUUAUGGAGCGGCCGUGUUUGUCCAUUUGUGGUGAGGACUUUCAGUCAAGUUUUUUAUGAGUAUUGAGAUUAUGGAAUCUGUUUUUCUUCCUUAAUGGCUCCUUUGCCUUGUAUGGAAGAUUCUCAAUAAGAUAUUAGUUCUUACUGGCAUGUGUUCUAUUUUGCUGCCAUGAGGUUUUUAGUCCACAUGGCUUAUGUUCUUCGAUGGAGGUCUUACAUGGAUAUCGACACUUGAUAAGUACUUGGCGGAUUCUAGAUUUUUUGAUAGUGGCGUAAAAUGCUUGUUCACUUUUAUUCUUGCAACUACUUAUCUUCUCUGCUUCCAUUUCCUUUGCUUUAUCACAUGAUAUAUUUUUGGUUGGAUGGAUGUUGUAGACCAUUUGGUGACACUGUUAUCAAAGCUCGAAUUUGGAAAUUUCAAAGCUUGGUUAACCAACAUGUGAUCCUCUGUCACCUUUUGGUCUUUUUGGCACCUGGAUGUUGUCUAGGCUUUGGCAGAAGGGGUUUUUCGCUCUCGUCUAUGGCAUCUCUAGUGAUUACACUUUGGCGGUUUGGGAUUCGUCAGACAUUGCACUUGACUGUUCCCUGCUUUCUGUUCUUGCAGCCAUUGGUUACAGGGCAUUGAAUUAAUCUUUCCAUGGAGCGCCCAUGUUUGUCCGUUUGUGUUGAGGUUUUUUUAGUUGAGUCUUGUAUUGCUUUCGAGAUUUUUGAUUCAGUUUUCUUCCCUAAUGGCUCCCUUUUGUCUAUCAAAAUUAGUGUUGUAUGGAUGCUUGACUAAGAUGAUAUUUUUCACAGUGUGUUGUGAUUUGUUGCCGUGAAUCUUUUAAUCCAGACACUAUGUUUUUCGAUGAUCCAAUUGAUGAGGUCUCCUAUUUCCUCUGUAUGGUCUCCUAUUUCCUAUGUACACUUAUCAAGUAUUCUUUCAAUUCUGCAUCUUAUCUUUUGACCGGGUCAGUAAGUGCUUCUCUACUUCUGCUCUUAUAGCUACGUAUUUUCUUUGCUGCCAUCUUCAUUUACAACUUGUUUUUUCGGUUUUAUUGAGGAUGUGUGUAGACAUGAUUACAGAAAUAAGGUUAAGGUAUCCAGUAUGGUAGUCUUCUAGCUGCUACGUUCAUUCUUUGUUGCCAUCUUCUUUUGGCUAUCACAACUUGUUUUUUUUGUUUUGAUGGAUGUUUAAACUAUAUGGUGACUGUAAUAGAGGUUAAGAUAUGGAGAUUUCGAAGGUUGAUAUCCAACAUGGUAUCUCCGUACCCUCUUGGUCUAUUUGGUUCUUGCACUCCAAUCUUGGAUAUAUUUGGUCAGAGCUUCAAUGAACAGGGCUUUUUAAAUCUUGUCUAUAUGGCCUCUGUAGUGAUUUCCUUAUGGUUUGGGUUUCUUCAGCUUUGCUUGAUUCCUCUUCUUUUUGUGCUUGCAUCCUUUGGGUCUUACAGAGCAGUGAAAUGAAAUGAAAUAUUCAUUUCAUAGAGUGGCUUAGUUUUCCAUUAUUUGAGGGUUCCUUAAUUCAGGCUUUUUAUGAGUUCUGGCAUUUUCUUUUAAAAGUUUUUUUUUCUUUGUGUGUUGUAUUCUACUUCCAUUUUCACUUUUUAGUCCAGAAGUUUAUUUUCUUCAAUGAUCCAAUUGAUGAGAUUCCUGAUGGUUGUUGGUCUGUGGUCUUCUCAUGGACAGCUGACAAGUACUCAAUUUUGGAUAUUUUGAAAGCCUCAUUAAAUGGUCCUCUAUUUUGGUGUUCUCCCUGCUUAUCUUCUCUGCUUCUUUUUUGUGUAUUAUGAUAGUUUGAUCUUGUUUGUUGGAUUGAUGUAUGGUGACAGCUGAGAGGUAUAAGACGGAAGAUAUUGAGGAUUGGUGACCAGUGUGCAUUCUUGUGCACCUGUUUCUUGUGGCCAUGUUGGUGCUUUAACUACUAUCUGGAAUUAUCAGGCAUCGAAAGAAGGCAGUUUUCAGUCUUGUCUUCCAGUUAAUUCCUAGGUGGUAUGUGCGUCACCAGAUUUGCACUUAAGACUGCUCCAUUGUUUUUGUGCUUACUGCCGCUGGGUCUUACAGAGCCAUAGAUAUUUCUGUACAUGGAGUGGCCUUGUAUGUCAAUUUGUGUUUGAAGUUGUUUGGUGAUGCUUCUAAUGAUCAUUUAUAUCUUCAAAUCAGUAUUCUUCCCUAAUCAUAAAGGUUUCUUCUCUGUGGUCAAACUGCUUGACUGGUGGUCAUUUUGUUGCCAUAUUUCUUUUUUAUAAAUCCAGAUGCUUAUGUUCUUUGGUGGUUCAACUGAUAUUCUGAAGAGAUCUCUAUGGUUGUCGACAGUUCAUGAUAAGUGUAUUCAAACUCAACCGUGGAUUUGUUGAUGGCUGGGUUACAACUCCUCCACUUUUCUUGUUCUCUCUACUUACUUCCUCUGAUUUUGUUUGAUCUACUAGUUGAUUAAGUUUGGUUGGAUGAAUGUUCGUAGGGCCUCAUGAUGGUAGUCUGAUUCUUCCCUUUGAUGUGGUGUUCUAGGUUUUCCAUUGACCAAGCUUAACAUACCGGCACCAUCUAACAAGUCUCUCUCAUUCAGUUUGUGGUUCAUUUAUUGGGUGCAGUAUCUGCAGCCAUAAUCACUACUAUUUUCAAACUAAUUGUUGUUAGGUUUCUUGAGGCAUCCAAGGAUUUCCUGUUUAGGUUAUGCCAAUUUCUUUCUUGUUCUACACAAGGUAAUGAUGGUAAGGGUAUAGACCAUGCAGUUCUGUUGUUGGAUGUCAAUUAUCUCUUAAUGAAGUAAAACCUCAUCUUUGGGACCUGCAACGGAUCUUCUUUUCUGGUAUAUUCUCCUUCUUGAGGCAUCCAAGGACUUCCUGUUUAGGUUAUGCCAAUUUCUUUCUGGUUCUACACGAGGUAAUGAUGGUAAGGGUAUAUAGACGAUGCAGUUUCUGUUGCUGGAUGUAAAUGAUCAUUGUAAUAAAGUAAACCUCAUCUCUGGUAUCUGCAGCAGAUGGUAUUCUCUUACAUCUUCUCCUCCGGAACACUAUUCAGUAGAACUUUCUGGUUCUCCCUUGUAGAUGAUGCUCUGUGUAUUUCAUGUCGUUAGGCGAUUAUCUCAUUCAACAGGAAUGUCUCCAUCCCAUGUCUUCUGGUUUCUUUAUCCACCCAGAAGCUCUGAAUGGAGUACGUGUGGUAGAGUAGUGGAAUUUUAUGUGUUAUAUCUACCAUAAGAUUGUAUUGGUUGCACAUUUAUAUUGUGUUAUCCACACAAUUAGUUGGGUGGGUUCAUGCACCAAACAUGAGAAGGGACGCGAUCAAGGAGUUUCUAUGAAGCAGUCUGUUAUAGUCAUUUACAAGUUUUGAUAAUAUCGGACUCCUGUUUUAGUAUUUGUUGUAUUUGCUGAUUUGGAUCUCUUACCUGUAUGCUUUGGAUUUAGUUUGUCGUGGUUUUGCUUUUCUAAAUAUGGCCACUGAAUCAGGUAUUUCUGUUUUCUCUAAGUUCCAGUUGUCCAAACUUGCCAGAUAAUUUGAGUGGGUAUAUUUCUUCCUUUUUAUGCUCCAGUUGUCCAAUUUCACCAGAUAACUCUGAAUGGGGUACUUCUCUUCCUCGAGAGUCAUCAGUUCAGACAUGUUGGUUUGGAGAAACUUGUUGGUCCAGCUUUGUUCCUGUUUUUUCUCAAGUUCUUGUAUGUACUUCGAUAUUGCUAGAAUUAAAGGACAUAUUUUUUAGGUUAAAAUACACAAAUUCAGUUCUCUCUAGAAGAGGUGAGAAGUUGGGAGGAUGGUGAACCGGUUGUUGUGGAGCAUGUUAACAGAAAAAGGUCACAGUAUGAUUUUUACUUUGGAGCAUCUUAAACAGGAUAAGGUCCUGGUAUGAUCACCUGGAUUCCUGUUUAUACAUUGACCCAUUCUAGUCAUUUUUGCAUGUUUUGAAGUAUCUGAGUAUUUGUUCGGAUCAACGUUAAAAGGGCUUCUGGUUAUUUUGUGCGGGUGUGUGUUCAACUACACUUGAGUGUUCUUGUCACUCGUACUAAUUUAAUGUUCUUUCUGCUAUAACGUAUAGUAAAUUAUUAGUCUAUGUGCUUGUUGUAGUUUUUGGAGGAUGAGUGUUCUAUCCAGGUGGCAGUGUCGGUGAUCGAGUUUUAAAUAUUGAGUAAGAACAGAAUGCUCUCAAAAUUAUUGUUUCCACUUGCAUGUAUGGAAUGCAGUUACUUGAACAUUGGUGGUGUGUAUGUGCUAUAAUGUAUAGUAAAUUAUUAGUCCACAUGCUCGUUGUAGUUUUUGGAGGAUGAGUGUUCUAUCCAGGUUUCCACUUGCAUGUAUGAAAUGCAGUUACUGAAUAUAUGUGGUGUAUAUGUGAUAUUCCAUUGAGUAUAGGUGAAAAGUAGCUUUCUGUUUUGGGUUUUAUGAUGAGUCGGGUGUCUCAUUCUUUUGGCUUAUCUCAUAAUAUUAUUUGGUCUCUUUUGAUUUGGGAUUGGUAUUUGUGGAUUAAUAUGUUGGAUGUGAUGAACCUUUGAGUUCAGGAAAAACAAGAAGACAUUUUUAUUCAAAACAUGGACACAAUGGAAGUUUAACUCUGGAAGAAGUACUUGAUGAAACAUCCCCGAAUUUGGCAGAUGCGACACAAGGGAUGGUCCAAGAUUCCAUGUGUGUAGUGUUGGAACUGGUGCAAAAAGUUGAUUUCAGUGUACAUAUUGUUCUCUCUUUGUGAAGCUGUGAGAUGGAACACUCGAUGCAGGAGCUCCCUUAUACUAUGUGACUGACUUACUGUGGGAGUGCAACAGGUAAUUAACAACCUCUAGUUUAAGGUGAAGUAUGCUCUUGUCUUUGGUCUUUAAAGAUCUAUUGAAAAGAAAGUUCUAUUUAUUACUUUUGUCUUAAUCUUAAUAAAAAGGACUUAAGCAUCUUGGAUUCAAAUAUUCAAACAGUCUUUCUUGUUAUCGAAAUCUAAAAAAAGAUACAUAUAUGGAAAUAAAUUGCGUCCAAUGGGAUUUGUACCUAUACCAAAGGUUUAGAAGACCUAUGUCAUCUCCAUUAGACAAUGAAUGAUUUCCAUUCUGCUGUUGGAGUGCAGCCGGUAAUUUAACAACCUCUAGUUUAAGGUGAAGUAUGCUCCUGUCUUUUGUUCAUUAGAGGUCUAUAAAGCAUUGCAACCUGUUUUCGGAGGCCUCAGGAAGGUAUAUAAAUCAGAUACUCAAAUCGUUACAUUUUAAUUAUUCCUUUGCUGAAGUGUUUAGUGCAGUUGUUUCUUUCUUGUCUCUGCUUUCGCCGGGACGCACAUUCAUGUUAUUAGAUGUUUCAUACAAUAAUUAAUGGGGAUACGAAAAUAUUGUGAUACCAUAUGUCAGGCUACUCUAAGCAGUAUCCAUGUUGUCAUGUGAGGGGGACUCUAAGCAGUGUCUAUAUGGUCAUCUAUUCCAGAAAUUAAUAAGUUGUGUUUCAUACCGGAGAGGGUCAUUGAAGGAGGUGAAAUCUCAUCAUCAUAUGGUACUUGGCAUUUUUGUUUGAGCAUGUUGCUUAUGAUGUCCGUUUAGUCUCUUUUUCUGAUGCAUUACUAGAUCGAGUUCUACAUAAAUUUAAGAUUUUCAGGUCUAAUUCAUCAAAAUAACUUAGUUUUGGUUGAUCCUUGUAUGAGGAGCAUGUCUAAUACAUCACAUGAUGUCUUACAAAAGAAAAAAAACAUUUGCAUCUUUGUGAAUGUCCACGGAAAUCAUCAUGACUGGCUUUCUCCAUGGUUAGUUCUGUCUUGUCCCUAGGACUGAACUAGAUGUGGGAGAUCGAUGUAUCAGUGUCGGUGUGGCUUGGUCAACCCCACACUACAUAUUUCUAAUUGCGCUCAACUUCACACCACACAGUUUUAAUUGUUCUCGGCAGGUGGAAUUUCAUUAACUUGAUGUGGUAGCUUUACAUUUUUAUGUUUCAAGGUAAUUACUCAAACUUCUGUUCUCUUACAUCUUUUCAGUACAAAGGUAUUAAGUCCAAUAAUAAUAUUAGCUCAAGCUAUCAAAGUCACUCAUACCAUCAUAUGCAUUUUCUUGCAAUUAUAAUGGUUUUUUCGGAAUCAACAUGUGGUGGAUGUGUAGGAGUACUUCCGUACAAAAUAGUGUACUCGCCUUGCUUACUGACCAUAGCGCGUUGAGGUAAUAAACUUUACGAGGUGACUGUAAAUUAUGAAUAUUUUCGAGAUUCACCUCCAUUGGAAAUUUACCUCUUGAGGUUGUUGCAAGGUUUGAGUUUUACAGGGUGACUGAAUUAUGAAUAUUAACCAUUGAUUGCUAGAUUUUCUUUCAGGUGACCUCGUUUUAAAUUCUGCAUGUUUCUCAUGCUUCAGAGUAAGUUUUGCGGUCAUUUGUAUAAAUAUUGAUAUGGGAAGGAGGUCAAAAGAUAAUCAUAUCGAAACUGCAGCAACAUUAAAUACAUGAUCUACAACUAAAAGUUUAAACUGUUAUCUCCAAUGUCAGGAUAUUUAGUCAGAGUGAUAAAACAGUAAUUUGAGAAGGAGAGCAGUUGAAUAUUAAUAUCAUCUCGUAUUACUAAAAAUUGAAGAAAUAAAGUUAAAAGUUGAAUUAUCAUUCUUUUGUUGAUCCUUCUACUGAUUAUUCAGAUCUUCAAUUCAGUUCUCUUGCCUAAUUAGAAUGGUGUCCUCUGUCGUCGAACUGCUUCACUGGUAUUUGUUAGUUCUAUAUGAUCUCACAUUGUUUCGCAUGCCAAUUCUUCUUGUGGUUUCUUUUGAAGCAGUGUUGGUUUAUUUAUUGCUAGAUUGUGUGGUUAGAUGAAACUUGUAACUCUGCCUAUCAAAUCCAUCAGUCCCAGGUCCGGACCAAGGAGAAGGGAAGGUAUUUUAGUUUUCAAUUAAUUGUCUUUUUUUAAUUAGAAGAAAUGUUUCUCGACUUCCUAUGACUGUUUCCCCUUAUUUGUCUUGAGCAAUUCAAAUGGAACAUGUGCUGCUUUUGUAAUUCUUUUCAUUUUAUCUUAUAGGAAUUUCUAAUUACAAUAAUCGCUUGUCAGUAAUGUACAUAGUUGUUAGAGUGUUAAGGCAUGCCUUAGGCGCUUCUCAACCUGAGUGGUCAAGUGUUCUCGCUUAUCAUGCAACUAGUUUGCGGACACAUGCUUUGCACGUGUCUCCUAAGCAAAUAGUACAAUGAUAGACAUUCAUUACAAAAAAAUAAACUUAAACUCAUGAACAAUCAGAGUAUUCAAACUUCUUUGCUGAAUGACAAAUGAUUAUGUAUUGUCUGAAUCUGUAAAAUCAAAUAACAAAAAAUGGUUAGACUUAAAGUGUAGAAUGAGUUACAUUUUAAUUUAUUAAGGUGCAAACAUAUAGAUUAAUCUGGGAACUCUAAAAGCUUACAAAGAAGCAACGAUCCUUUGCAAUGAUUUUUGAGGUCCUCAUCAUCAAAAUUAAGCCCAUUAUAAGUAUUUGACAAAGUCAAUAUACUAUAAAAGAAAAAAUUGGAUACUCCUUUAAAAGUACACGAAAAGGAAUAUAUAUUUUCAUAAAUAAUCAAAGAAAAUAACCAAAUAAAAUGAGACUACCUUUAGUAGAAACCUUUAACCCGUCUCUAUUAUUUCUUCUAAUGAGGAGUCAAGAUGGGGUUUAUUAUUCCAUUUAUAAUAAGUUGAUUAGUGAGAAAAAAAUUAAGAUAACAAAUAAGAUGAAUCAUUAUCUAGUUAAAUUGGUAACAUAAGGAAAUCAAAAGGUUUUUAAUUUAUUAUGGCUUAAGUCAUCUGCAGCCACUCAAAGUUGUCCGCAUAAUUCUUUUAGACAACUCAACUAAUUCUUGUGCCAAUUGAACACUUUAUUUUUUCAAAAGUCAUUCCUAUUAGACACAAAAUGCUGACAUGGCAAAAAACGUGUAAUUCACUUUCCUUGAGCGCGUUAAUUUAUUAAAAAUACUAUUUUUCCUUUUUUUUCUUAAUUUAUACCCUUAAGUUAAUAUUUAAAAAAAUUAAUUAACAAAAAAGAAGAAGGACAAUUGUCUUCUUCCCUCUUUCUAUCAUAUUAUUCUUUCACCAUUUUUAUCUCUUUUUUUUUUACACAGCAGACCACACUCCCUCCACCUCUCUUUCUCUCACCCUCACUGUUCUUUCCUGUUUUCCUCUUUUUUCUUAUAUUGAUUUUCGUCUCAAAUAUCUCGAAGAAGUUUCAUUUACAAUGAUAAAAAAAAAUAUGAAUAGAUUUUUUUGGGCAAAAGUCUGUUAAUUUUUUUUCAAUUCUAAUAAAUAAUUUCUAAUGUAUAAAAGAUGAAGACAAUGAGUGAAAAAUUUUAAUGCUAUCGAAAUGAAAGAGAAUGCAUAUUUAGCUUGAAUAGACAACAAUAGUGUGUCAUUGUAGCUCCAUGGAAGAGAAGAAAGAGAUGGAGCUACACCAACUCCAUGGAAAAUCAGAAAUGGGUAUUUCUGAAGAAGGAGGAGGAAAGUGGGGAGGGUGGAGGCUUUAAUUAAAAAUAGAUUUUUUUUUUAAAAUUUUUAAAAAUACUUUAUGAAUUAAUUAUAUAGAGGUUUUAAAAAAAAUUAAAUGUAAUGUCACGUGUCAUCAUAUUAUUGGUAAAAUUAAUAUGAAUUCGCGUUUGAGAUACAUGCGUUUUUAUUUUUCAAUUGAUUGUUAGUUUGUGUCAAAUAGGUAUAAAUUUUUUAAGGUUUAAGUGUUCAAUAGGUACAUUCCUUAGUUGAGGUGUUUAAGUGAAAUAUGAGGACAACUUUAAGUGGCUAUGGAUGACUUAGGCCAUUUAUUAUUCUUUCAUUGGUAACAAAUAAUUACAAUAACUAAAGUAACAAUCAAUGUUGGAAUUAAAACGCAACUUAAAUUUUACUAUAUACAUAUAUCUCAGUUUUUUAGGGUUAUUUUUGUAUAUCAAAUUUCAACAUAUUUUUCCAAUUUUAGUAAUAUAUGAUAUGAUGAUUGGUAAUUAGAAAUUGUGGCAACUUAGUUUCUUGCUUAAGUGAAAAGCUGAAUGCAUUGCAGUCUGACAGCUAUUGCAAUUUAUUUAUGAUCCACUUUAACAUUGGAAUUAUUGUUUCCCGGUUGUUGUUUAUAGAUAGUCUUCAACAUGGUAUAUUACUAGGGAUUAAUUCGUGUUAAGCUUAAUAUCAUACGCAUGUGCCUAUUAAGGAAUCAUGUGUCAUGUGUGUGCCAUGCAACAUAUAUAUGUGUAUGUUCAAGAAUCAUCACUACAUAUUUCUCUCUUUAUUGAUCACCCACUGCAAGCUAAUAUUCUUUAUAAUUGUUUGCUUUUUGUUUGUGAGGUCGUUCGUGGAUGUUGCAGGUUAAUGUUUACCUGAUAAGUCUUUUCAUGUAACUUCCCGUGUCGAACAAUUAUCCUGGAUAUAUGAGCUUCAUUAUACUAUGUGAUUUAUUUGUGGGAGUGCAACAAGUAAUUUAACAACAAGAAAUUGAAAGGUUUGUGUUUCAUACUAGAGAGAGGCAUAGAAGGAGUUUAUUUUUGGUUGUCCCUUGGGAUCGAACUACAUGUGGAGAUAAAUGUAUCACUGUUGGUGUGUCUUGGUCAAUCAUUACUGUGGAAGAUCCAUAGGGCUCAAAAAGAGGGAUGGUUGGUGUGUCCAUGAUGCGAUCAAGUGUGUUUUUGGUGAUUUGACCUCUUUUUAGUUGAGAAUUCAUGUUAGGAUUGACUUUCUUCCAUAAUUUUAGUUUCAAGUGUCGGAUGAGAAUUUCGUCAGUUCCAUUGCGUCCCGAACGCCGAUUUUUGAGCUAGUGAAGUGGUUGGUAAGAUUUUCGAGGCCUUCAAGAUGAGUUUUGGUUGUUUGGGUGAGAAGUCAAGUUUUAAACCUUAAGAGUGGUCCGAAAGGGUAUUUCUGUUAUUUGACAUAUUUUCAUAAAUUCGACGAUUCCAUUGAGACCAAAGUGUUGAAUUUAGUGGGGUAGCAUGUCCAAUUUAUUCUUAUCAGACUCCGAUCGAUUUUUGAGCAUCCAAUAUGUGUCAUUUUUCCUUGUGUUGAGUUGAUGGUGUUUAGUUUCUGGUGCAUGUCAUUUUGACCUUUGCGGUCGCGGCCCUUAGGCUUGCGAUGAACCUUUCUCUCCCUUAGGCUUUAUGAUCGCGAUAUAAUCUUUCGUGCCAUUCGCGAUCAGGAGAAUUAGUGUCUUGCAUUCGCGAUGACCAAUUUCACAUAAAUAAAACCUAAAUUGAGGAUUCUUCCUAUUUUCACUCGAUUUGAGCUUAGGAGAGACGAUUCUUCAACGUUUUUCUUGGUGAAAUUCGUGGGGGUGUGGUUGAGGAAGUCCUUCAAUAGAGUUGGUCGAGUGAUGUUUUGACCUUUGAGGUACUCAGGAUCAUUAAGAGUCACUUUGUCUAGAUCACUUUGCAUUCCUUGGUUGCUUUUGGUGAAAUAAUGGAGGAACAAAAACAAUCAACUUUUUGAAAUAGUCAGAUGUCUGGUGGUAGAUGUUGAUGUCAAUUGCCUUCUCAUUACUACUACUUUUCUCAAGAAAUCCAAAUUUGAAGGAACUUAAGUUUAUCAUUUUACUAAAUUUUAUGAGUGUCAAAAAUCUAAGAUUGUGAUGAAACUUAUAUCAUCUUAAAAUAAUGUAUAUUUUCUAUUCUUUUCAUGCUACCAUAUUAUUAUUUGAGAAUUAUGUCAAUAGAGAUUUAUACAAAUCAAAACUAGUCAUCAGUUCAUCUAA